GGCGGGGUAGCUCAGUUGGUCAGAGCACAGGAUUCAUAACCCUGUUGUCGCCGGUUCGAUCCCGGUCCCCGCUA
RNAcentral lists this transfer RNA (74 nucleotides) under Planctomycetota bacterium. RNAcentral describes it as "tRNA-Met". It matches the Rfam family "tRNA". Rfam says of the family: Transfer RNA (tRNA) molecules are approximately 80 nucleotides in length. Their secondary structure includes four short double-helical elements and three loops (D, anti-codon, and T loops). Lineage: Bacteria; Pseudomonadati; Planctomycetota. The record is from RNAcentral.